This 1357-nucleotide long non-coding RNA is filed under the name Capsicum annuum. Its description in RNAcentral is "long non-coding RNA (CANN_LNC014081)". Lineage: Eukaryota; Viridiplantae; Streptophyta; Magnoliopsida; Solanales; Solanaceae. The record is from RNAcentral.
ACUACUUCCACAUAAACCCAAAAAGAUGGUUAAUUUUGUAAUGAAUUGGCUUUCCAGCAGUUCUGGUCAACUCAGCUUGUGUGGUACCCAUUGCCAAAGCUGCAAAAACAAACAGCACAAAACACUUUGGAGGAGUGUGUGGUGUGUGUGUAUUUUCAUUAUAAAAAUAUGUACAAAAUUGCACUGUGAAUGAGCACCUAAACAAAACAGAAUAGGAAGCACUAAAUAAGGUAUCGCUAAAUUGGUCCUUACUUAAAAAUAUAAUAGUGCUGAAAUUUGGUCACCAACACUACAAAUUCAUCCUUUUUUGGCUUUAUUUAUUCAACACAAGGUACAACACAAGGUAAGUAGAUUGCAUAUUCACUCAUUCCUUUUUGCGAAACCCUUUUUUUGUGUGUCUAAUUGAAUUGGUUGUUCCGGGAAGAAUUAUAAUCAGAUCUGGUUGAUUCUACAGAGUUUAGCUUUGUGGGUUUUGUUCUCUAGCAGAAGAAAGGCAAAUUCAGAGCAAGAAAAGAGCAACAAAGGCAAUUUCGCAAAUUUUCAAAUAAACUUACGAUGCAAUUAACUCGAUAGCAGCAAAACACAAACAAGGAAACAACUUCAAAUCCGCAGAAGCACCAAUCUUUACUCGAUCGAAAAAUCGAAGAACAAACAACGAAAGAGUUAGCGGCACCAAUCUUUGCUCGAUCGAAAAGCCGAACAAGGAACAACGAAAGAUGAAAUAAAAUUACGAUGCAAUUACCGUGAUAGCAGCAAAACACAAAGAAGGAAAGAACUUCAAAUCCGCAGAAACACCAAUCUUUGAUCGAUCGAAAAGCCGAACAGGAAACAAUGAGCGGCAGAAUUGGAUAAGGAAGAUAGCCAAGCGGCUAUAUAUUGUAAGAACCAGGCAAAAUUAGAGCGACAGAUAAAAUCAUGAUGCAAUUACCUUUGAUAGCAGCGAAACACAGACAAGAAACAAACUUCAAACCGGCAGAAACAUCAAUCUUUGCUCGAUGGAAUUAUAAGGAGAAAAGCCAAAGAGGGAAGAAAAAAAAAUUUAGCGAUGGAAAUGGAUAAGGAACACAGUGAGGCGGUUCUAUAAUUGGAUUAAAGAAGAGAAGUUGAGGCGGUGAGAGUUAAAAUUUAUCAAAAUUACGAAAAUACCCUUUUUCUCAAGCGACAUGUUGACGGUGUCAUGUCUGCUUGAGCAGCCAUACUGACUUAUUAUAUAGGAGAAAAUAAAAUAUUUAUUCCCCACAAAAAGAUAAAGCAAUCAAAAGUACCGAUGCUAUCAUAUUUAUAGAAGCUAAUAGGAUCAAUUUUAAACUAAGCAAAUAUUGCAUACUGUCAAAACUAGGGAUGUGCAUCGAUCGGU